GAUUGGGGAGCUUGUAAAUAGCUCCUAACUUUUAAUUAGGCGAUAGCACUUAGUGCUCCCGGUCA
This 65-nucleotide transfer RNA is filed under the name Tubifex tubifex (sludge worm). RNAcentral describes it as "tRNA-Lys". Lineage: Eukaryota; Metazoa; Annelida; Clitellata; Tubificida; Naididae. The record is from RNAcentral.